This is a long non-coding RNA of Amphiprion ocellaris (clown anemonefish), 675 nucleotides long. RefSeq lists it as uncharacterized. The record is from RefSeq and is a predicted model, not a curated record. NCBI's taxonomy places the organism in Eukaryota, Metazoa, Chordata, Actinopteri, Pomacentridae. The transcript has 3 exons.
GAGACAGAAACGAAAAAAGCUCCGUUUUUCAUUUUCUGAGACCGGAAGUGGUCAUCAGCAAGUGUGGAGCCAAACAGAGUACGGUGCAUAGACUGGAUAUAAUUUUUUUUUCGUUAGUUUUCAUGGUCAAAAUGAGAGAUCAGGUGGCCGAUCUUAAAAUAAAUCAAUAUUGAUUUUUUUAUAGAGCGUUAAAGUUUUGCGAAGCCAGGGGGCGGGACUACUUGACUGACAGGCUGGUCUGGAAUGAUUGACAGGUCCUAUGGAGGAGGCAGCAGAGACUCUGCUCUCCUCGUUUGGAUUAAUUCUGAUAUAAUAACUGUUGGUUUAUUUAUCGGUGGAGCAGCAGAACAUUUUCCACAGACAGUUUUCCUGCCCGUUGGCUUGUUUUAACCAGUUUUCUGCCUUCGGCUGAUUCUACCAGCAGACACUGAAAGGACUCUGAUAGUUCGAGUGAAAGUAGCAGUUCCUCCUGAAGGUCAGAGAUUGCAGCAUCUGAGGGCCUCUUCAAAAGAAGACGUAGUUGAUGAAGGCGUUCUGGAGCAGGACCAGAAAGACCACGACCAAGCAGCCUUGAGAUCUUAGACAGCGUCUCCCUGAGGUCCCUCUCUAUCUCCCCACACAUCCACCAACCACUGGAACACAUCUCCAAAGUUCUGCUGGCCAGCUCAGCUUCCC